AACAAGGCGUACCUGCGGACCUGCGGAAGGAUCAUUACACAAUACAAUAUGAAGGCUGUCCGCAGCUGGAGUAUUUUAUUACCCUUGUCUUUUGCGCACUUGUUGUUUCCUGGGCGGGUUCGCUCGCCACCAGGACCACCAAAUAAACCUUUUUUAUGCAGUUGCAAUCAGCGUCAGUACAAACAAUGUAAAUCAUUUACAACUUUCAACAAUGGAUCU
Molecule: unclassified non-coding RNA, 219 nt
Filed under: soil metagenome
Description: partial contains 5.8S ribosomal RNA, internal transcribed spacer 2, and large subunit ribosomal RNA
Source: RNAcentral